AUCGAUCGCGGAAGAAGGCAAGGUUGGGAAGAGGAUGGCAGCUAGGAUUGUUUCGAUAGCUAAAAGGGUUUCUAGGUCUCAGCCAUCCCUACUGCAGCACUACGGAUCUCAAGACUUUCUCUGCAACCGCUCAUCCCCGCUGACUCGUCCACCAAACUCACGAGUCCAAUCUGUAUUCGACGCAACAGUUACAAGGAAAUUGCAGCACUACGGAUCUCAAGACUUUCUUCUUCGACCGCUCAUCCUUUUCUAAUCCGCUGAAUCGGCCACCACACUCACGAGUCAAUUCUGUAUCCCAACGCAACAGAUAAAAAGGAAUUGGAGGAUUUUUUGGCAAAGUUGGACCUUACCAUGGAGGAAGUUAAGAAAGCAAAUGCCCAAGUGCUGGAGUUGGAACCUCUGGUAGAGGAAUUCCGUGUUGUGGCAGCCAAAUUUAUUGAGGAUGCUUAUUCGAAAAAAUUAAGAUAUCAAGUCCUUUAUGAACGCCGUAAUGUAACCCGUAGCUGUGUGGCAGUUGGUGCCGUUGUCAUGCUGUUAAUUGGACGCUACUUCUAGGGGUUGCAGCUGGAAAGUGAAGCAAACUGCUUUAUAUUAUCUCCUAAUCAACUUUGAAUGGAUUCCUUGUUAUGUUUCUAUGCAUCAUUCCAUGUCGUUGAAUGUAAUUAUGGGAGGGUUUGGUGUUGGUGUUUGGAUUCCAAUGGCAACUAACUUAGGAUUUACUAUUUUACCAAGUAUAUGGAUAAUGGAUGGUCUAUGCAUUUUCUUUGGAUCUAUUAUGGAAAAGAGGACA
Tripterygium wilfordii is the source of this 790-nucleotide long non-coding RNA. RefSeq lists it as uncharacterized. NCBI's taxonomy places the organism in Eukaryota, Viridiplantae, Streptophyta, Magnoliopsida, Celastrales, Celastraceae. The transcript has 3 exons. The record is from RefSeq and is a predicted model, not a curated record.